This 1098-nucleotide long non-coding RNA is filed under the name Ananas comosus (pineapple). Its description in RNAcentral is "long non-coding RNA (ACOM_LNC025230)". Lineage: Eukaryota; Viridiplantae; Streptophyta; Magnoliopsida; Poales; Bromeliaceae. The record is from RNAcentral.
UACGAAAUUAUUAUUAUUUUUUUUAAAAAAAAUAGGUAGCGUUCUACUAGCUUCAUUUAUUUUAUUUAUAAAUAAAUUUAAUUUAAAAUGUGAAUCAAUUAGGAUUCGAAUUUGGGUCUCAGGUGCCAACCACCAAGCCCAAGGACAGCCAGUCUCCUUACGAAAUUAUUAGCUGGACUGAGCAGGGAUUUAGGUGGGAUUGCAGUAGGAUUACAUUAUGGGUGCGUUUGGUUCGCAUUAUGAAAGAUUACUAGGAAUAAAAGAUAUCCGAGAAUCUUAUUCCUAUUCAUCCUAUUACUAAGAAUGUGGAAUUCCUGUGUUUGGUUCGCACGGUAAUAUUAAUUAGUCAUAUUAUUUAAUAUUACAAAAAAUAUACAAUUUAUUUAUUUAUUUAUUUAUUUUUAAAUAAUGUUACCAAAAGUUUAAACAUUUUUUUAGAAAAGAGAGAGAGAGUAUAAGUUAGAGAGAGAGAUAGCAUAAUUAAAAAAAUAGAAAGAAAAAUAUAGUCGAAAUUAGAGGGAGUGAGAGAGUUGAAAUUUUAGAAAGAGAGAGAGAGAAAGCUUAGUUUAGAGAGAGAAAAAAAAGUUUAGAGAGAGAUAUAAGGUUAGAGUGUAAAGAAAAAUAAUAUCAAUUAGCCGGCGGGUAUGAAGAAAGAAAAAGAUUAGACAUAUUAUGAUUACCCCAAUCCAUUAAUAUGAGGAUACCCACCCCCCUCAAAGGAAUGAGAUUAGUACUUUGGGGUGAAUCUUAUUCCCAAGUGAAUCCAAUAUUACCAAAUAGAUUACUUAGUGCGUUUAGCCAAACACCGUCAUAUUUUUUUAUUCCCAUUGAAUUACUAGUAAUCUUUAAAAGAUAGCGCAAACCAAACGCACCCUAUGUGUAGUGAGAAACGACGAUAAAAAAAUAUUAUAUUUAUUUUCGUACGUAAUAUUAUUUUUUUGUAUAUUACGGUUAGUCGAUUACGAUAUAUUUUUUGCGAUUUUAUUGAAGAACAUAAAAAUAUAUCUUUAUAUAUUUUUUUUCAAUUUUAUUCUAUCUAAUAGUGUUAGAUAAAUCUCAAUAUCAAAACUUAACUUAUUUUUAAGCUAUUUUUAUUUA